Molecule: transfer RNA, 751 nt
Filed under: Bradyrhizobium liaoningense
Lineage: Bacteria; Pseudomonadati; Pseudomonadota; Alphaproteobacteria; Hyphomicrobiales; Nitrobacteraceae
Description: partial contains 16S-23S ribosomal RNA intergenic spacer and 23S ribosomal RNA
Rfam family: tRNA (bases 121-194)
Source: RNAcentral
GCCAGAUCGUUGAGCUGCAUUGGCGGGAUUUCGCCGUCUUCGUUUCUCUUUCUUCGCGGACGAACACGCGCUGGGGCUGCAGGCUUGCAGAUCCCUGGUCCUUGACUGGAUAUGCGUUAGGGGCUUGUAGCUCAGUUGGUUAGAGCGCGCGCUUGAUAAGCGUGAGGUCGGAAGUUCAAGUCUUCCCAGGCCCACCACUUUCAUCGAGUGUGCAUUCGUCUUCUGGUUACGGGGCCAUAGCUCAGCUGGGAGAGCGCGUGCUUUGCAAGCAUGAGGUCGUCGGUUCGAUCCCGUCUGGCUCCACCAGAUGGUUUGAUCACCGAGAUCUUGUACCGUCGUCCGCGAAACAUCACUUCGCACUUGCUAGUCCGGAUGGACAGUAAGCUGCGUGAUUUCUGACAUCGUAAAGAGGAGAUCGAUCCGAGUUGGAUCGUGCGGAGAAUAUCUGCGCGAUACUUCAUUAUCUCCGGAUCAUUUCGGCGCUCGCGCGCCUUUCAGUGUAGCUCACAAGGCUGCGGCUGAGAGACGGGCGAGUUGUGAAUGAUCCUUUUAGCGAAGCUUGACCGCCUCGCUAUCGGAACGAUCUUACGAAGCAAGCUGGUCUUUCUAGUCAAUGUCCGGCUGCAGAUAGCGUUCAUCGAGGGCGCGUGCCGCAAGGUAAUUCUGCAGACAACAUUCUGCCGAGUGUGUGGACAUUGAUAAUGAGAGCAAUCAAGUGCCUUAAGGGUGUUCGGUGGAUGCCUUGGCGCUG